RNAcentral lists this ribosomal RNA (465 nucleotides) under uncultured bacterium. Its description in RNAcentral is "partial 16S ribosomal RNA". It matches the Rfam family "Bacterial small subunit ribosomal RNA", at positions 28 to 507 of the family's 1533-position model. The record is from RNAcentral.
GACGAACGCUGGCGGCGUGCUUAACACAUGCAAGUCGAACGGAAAGGCCCCUUUGGGGGUACUCGAGUGGCGAACGGGUGAGUAACACGUGAGUAACCUGCCCUUGACUUCGGGAUAACUUCAGGAAACUGGGGCAAAUACCGGAUAGGAAUCCUUGCGGCAUGGUGGGGGAUGGAAAGCUUCGGCGGUUUUGGAUGGACUCGCGGCUUAUCAGCUUGUUGGUGGGAUAGUGGCUUACCAAGGCUUUGACGGGUAGCCGGCCUGAGAGGGCGACCGGCCACAUUUGGACUGAGAGACGGCCCAGACUCCUACGGGAGGCAGCAGUGGGGAAUAUUGCACAAUGGGCGGAAGCCUGAUGCAGCAACGCCGCGUGCGGGAGGACGGCCUUCGGGUUGUAAACCGCUUUCAGCAGGGGCGAAGCUUGUGGUGACGGUACCUGCAGAAGAAGCACCGGCUAACUACGUG